AUUGAACGCUGGCGGCAUGCCUUACACAUGCAAGUCGAACGGUAACAGGUCUUCGGAUGCUGACGAGUGGCGAACGGGUGAGUAAUAUAUCGGAACGUGCCCAGUCGUGGGGGAUAACGUAGCGAAAGCUACGCUAAUACCGCAUACGAUCUAUGGAUGAAAGCGGGGGAUCGCAAGACCUCGCGCGAUUGGAGCGGCCGAUAUCAGAUUAGGUAGUUGGUGGGGUAAAGGCUCACCAAGCCGACGAUCUGUAGCUGGUCUGAGAGGACGACCAGCCACACUGGGACUGAGACACGGCCCAGACUCCUACGGGAGGCAGCAGUGGGGAAUUUUGGACAAUGGGCGCAAGCCUGAUCCAGCAAUGCCGCGUGCAGGAUGAAGGCCUUCGGGUUGUAAACUGCUUUCGUACGGAGCGAAAAGGCUCUCUCUAAUACAGGGGGCUCAUGACGGUACCGUAAGAAUAAGCACCGGCUAACUACGUGCCAGCAGCCGCAGUAA
This 498-nucleotide ribosomal RNA is filed under the name uncultured bacterium. Its description in RNAcentral is "partial 16S ribosomal RNA". It matches the Rfam family "Bacterial small subunit ribosomal RNA", at positions 30 to 523 of the family's 1533-position model. The record is from RNAcentral.